This is a small nuclear RNA of Callithrix jacchus (white-tufted-ear marmoset), 141 nucleotides long. Its record names the gene U4. It matches the Rfam family "U4 spliceosomal RNA". Rfam says of the family: U4 small nuclear RNA (U4 snRNA) is a component of the major U2-dependent spliceosome. Lineage: Eukaryota; Metazoa; Chordata; Mammalia; Primates; Cebidae. The record is from Ensembl.
AGCUUUGCACAGUGGCAGUAUUGUAGCCAAUGAGGUUUAUCUGAGGCGCAAUUAUUGCUAAUUGAAAACUUUUCCCAAUACCCCACUAUGAUGACUUGAAAUAUAGUUGGCAUUGGCAAUUUUUGACAGUCUCUACAGAGA